AUGAUCUCUACAUCCCUACUGCUGCUGCUGCUGGCGGCCGUACACUGUGUUCACUGUGUUGAGCUGAUCCAGACCGGAUCCACAGUAUUAACUCCUGGUCAGUCACUGGCUCUGACCUGUAAAGUGUCUGGAUAUUCAUUAACUGAUAGCAGCUACUGUACAGACUGGAUACGACAACCUGCAGGAAAAACUCUGGAGUGGAUUGGAGAGAUAUGUGGUAGCGGUAACACUUUCUACAGUGAGAAACUGAAAAGCAGGUUUCAGGUUUCCAGAGACACGUCCAGCAGCACAGUGACAUUAACAGGGCAGAACAUGCAGACUGAAGACACAGCUGUGUAUUACUGCGCUCGUUACACACAGUGAGACAGAUAAACAACGUCCCUGUACAAAAACUCCAAGUACACUGAAACAGUGCUAGCUCCCAACAUCCUCCUUCAUUAAAAAAGAAAUAAUAAUGAUACCAGUUCUGACUACAGCACCGGAGCCUCAUGAACAAUUCGACAGUCGGUUUCUGAUUACAUUGAAUUGAUUAGGCUCAUGUUCAUUUCACUCAUGUUCAUUUCAGCUAUCAAUAUCUGACAUUCACCUGUGUGUGAGUAAAUCACACUUACAGCAAGGUUUUACAAAUCUUCAGACAGACUGACUGUUUGUUGAAUUUGCUUCUUACACACAUUUUCAUGCAUGGU
Molecule: non-coding RNA, 686 nt
Organism: Hemibagrus wyckioides
Lineage: Eukaryota; Metazoa; Chordata; Actinopteri; Siluriformes; Bagridae
Source: the annotation of a RefSeq genome assembly